Molecule: long non-coding RNA, 5820 nt
Organism: Hydractinia symbiolongicarpus
Lineage: Eukaryota; Metazoa; Cnidaria; Hydrozoa; Anthoathecata; Hydractiniidae
Exons: 2
Source: RefSeq, a predicted model, not a curated record
AGUGCCAAGACCAAGUUGGCAACCAAAGUGGAAAUAAAAUACUGGAGAAAAACACCAACAAGAAACGAAAAUAAAAUUGAAAGAAAGAAAAACGCUACAAUUAAUACAAGAGAUACGAGGUUACAAAAUUAUCCCUGUCUAAAUUUUCGCUUCUUUUGUUUUUUUAUUUUUAUUUUAUUAUUUAAGAAUAGCAUAUCCUACAACUUAAAUUAACAAUUUAUAGAUUUUUUUUUGGUUCUCGUGGUAUAGUGACGUCAGUGAAUCGUUUUUUAUCAACUUCUAAUCUCUACUGUUUAGUUAAGCCUGUAAAAGUUUUUGAAGUUUCAAGUAGCUGCUAUAUAACAAAAUAUUUGCAGCUUGAGUGUUCACGCUUAAUCCAAACCAAUUGAAAGCGAAGCUGCAACGUCAUUGGGUCAUUUACUUGAAGUCGGGGUUAUAGCUUAGCGGAGAAUUUUUCAUUACUCGCUAUUGUUGCUUAAAGAAUAGGAUUUUAUAUAAAAGAGGUAAGUUUUUUUCGUGCAAGAACAGUUUUGUGAUUGGUUAAAUUCAGACUUUCUUGUGAAUGGCUACAUUCAAAGUAAUGAUUCGUGAUAAUUGGUUAAAUGUUUGAAAUAUCAAGGUUUGAUUGGUUUGUUAAGAAAACAUUACAGUGUUUGCUUAAACGCUCUUAUUGACGUCAUUGCGAUGAAAAAGUAAAUGUGAUUUCGUUUUAUACUCUACUUCAUUUUAAAUAUGUCCUCACUUGAAAAUGUUCUCAAAAUAAAGAAAAAUAAACACAGUGGUCUUCCGUAAAGGAAAACGCCUUGUAUUAUUUCGGCUUUUUUUUUUGUCUUAGGUAAACACACAGACUUAAGAAAGUGGUCAAUUACGUACACUCAGUAUUUAUGUGACAGUGACGAAGUUUUUCGCACAGCAUAGUAAAAAUGUGUCGUUUUUAGGGAUUUCCUUGUUAAUAUUUGAAACUCUGCGUUAAUAAGAGCCAAUGGAGAAGGACUUGGUGAGGUAUAUUUGUGCACUGCCUAAUUCCAAACUGACAGGCUUUGUCACGCAAAAUUGCGUACACAACUCCGGAAUUUAUUUCGUGCAUGUUUACAUGAAAACAUAAGCGUACCUCUUUGCGGCAGGUAAUUGGAUAAAAAGAGAUCUAACUCUUUUGCCACUAUACAAAUAUGAGAUGGAUUCACGCAUAAAAUGCGGUGUUUGCAGCGAGCAAUCUUUCCAAGACGCUCUCCAUCUGUGCUCUCCAGUGGGGUGGCGUGAAAUAAUAUCAUCAUAACUAAAUCCAAUCUAAAAUUUAAACAAAAAUCGAUUAAAAAUGAAAAAUACUGUAAUUCAUAUUUGUAUAACAUCAUCUUCCUUGAUUAAUUCCCGUGCAUCGGUUUUGCAUCCGUUCUUCGUGAUUGGAGCUUUGCGUUACUUAGCAACUUGAACAGCAAGAACAACAACAAUUGAUAUGCCACAAUCAGCCUUCUGUGUUUCAAAGACUAUCAACGGCGCCUAUACUCCGGAUAGCGUGAAUGCAUCUCAUAAAUGCAUUUCAGGUGCCACAUUUUAAAUGACAGCCCGAGGCUUUUUUUUUAAAAAAAGAAACUGUUUCGUACCUCCAUACUUUAUCAGCUUGUCGAAGACAGUCUAUUCUUCUCAUUUUCCCUUUCUGAUCAGGAUUGGAAAUAAUACACUCAGUGUUUUCUUUACCUGUAACCGCUGCAAUAAAUUCACUCCUAUGAAAAGAAAACACGAAAGAAUGUUUAUUCUUUAAGGUUUUAGUGUUUGGAUAAAAAUUUACUUCGAAAGAAGUUUAUAGCUUAUACUUUAGGUCUGUGUUAUCUCAGCAACAGCAAUCGCGGGACUCGCGAAGGGAUGAUUUCAUUCAUGCAUUUUAGGUGCGCAAACUAAAAAUGGCGUUUAAUUUGAGCAUUACUACUGAUUACUCUUGCGCAGUUUGUUAUAAAAAAUUUAAUACCUCAUUAUUGGUUUGCAUUAAGGUUUUUCAAAUUACUCUGUCAUUCUUGGAAUUAAGAUUAAGUGUCUCAUCCAUACUCUAUUGACGCCUGGUCAUGCGUCACUGAGCAACAUCAAUGAAGCGCGAAAGUCAACAAAACACGCGUGUAAAAGAUGAAUUGUAAAUACAUAAGAACGUCUUUUUGUUCUUUACGGUCUAUAGUAAAAAUGACAAAGUCUUAUUGACGUCAGUUGCGAUGUAUUUUCGUUAAAAUUUUGGAAUAGAAUCGCAAAAAAUACAACACUCUGACGUAAUCGUCUUCGCGAUGAAAUUGUUCGCCAAAAGGCUGGUACAUCUAUUUUUAGCCAUGCCCCGUUUGUUUGUUUUUUGGUUACUUUUUUUUGGUAAUCGACCAAUUCUUUAGCAAUUUUGAUUUUUCUCUAACCAAGAAUCGUGUUCCCUAAUCAAGAAUCGUGUUUUCCCCAAAUAAGAAACGCCAACAAAAGCCGCAAAUCGUAAUUUUCUUAGCAGUAUCGCGGAUCAUCUUCGAAAAUUAAGCAAAUUAUUUAUUCCCUGUCGCAACAAGAGCGCAUAACUUAUUUACGAGUUUUGACAUUAAAUUAUCUCUCAUAAACAGAUUUUUAAUUUCCUAUUCCUUCUCUAACUACCGCUUUAACUAACUAACAUUUUAAUUGUUAAUGACCUAUGAACCUUCUCUAUCUUCCCUUCACCAAACAAAUGUUCUCUUUUUUUCGAUUAUGCUAUCGCUGUGACCUGGCGUGUGGGUUAUGCGAGCAUAAGGUGAAAAAUAGAAGUGCGCGAUCGCGUGAUGACCUAUGACGCAGUUAAACAUCUUUUUUUACAUUCAAUAUUGCAACUUUCGUUAAUGACUUAAUUAGAAGUAAUCUUUUGAACACAAACUUGCAAUGUUAUAAUAUGUUAUAAUAUUUUGCAGAUUGAUUUAUAAAAGCCUGGGUUCGAAAACCGCACUACCUGUAACAUGCACAUCUUUUGCGCGGAGUAAUCGUAACGAUCGCUAAUUAUUUCUCGACUAACCUGCAUUCUGGUUUAAUGUCUUUUCGUAGUUUUGCUAACAAUCUCGACGCCCACUUUUGUUUUACAUCGUAAGGUUGAUUUUCUAACUCGUCUUUAGUUUCACGUAACAACUCCAUACUCAUUUUGGAGUCGUGUUUCUUGAAAUGUUUACGCUUUCUUGCUUGCAUGUUGAACCAUGUGUAGGAAAAUGUCUUCACCAACGGCAAGCAUUGUUCGAUGAAUGGGUGGUAAUCCUCCUGCGAGAGAAAUUUUUAUUAGUGAACGUUAAACAUGUGGGAUAAAAAACUAAAUACCCCUAGAUAUAAAUGCUCUAGAAGUCAAUCGGCAUUUAUGUCGUUUUUCCAUUCAGCUCUUCUAAAAUUUUCUUUAAAUACACGCCAAGAAUUGUGGUGUCAACCGAAUACUUCGCAAUGACUCCGCCUUAGAUGCAUUGCGUUAUGUAAAAUGAGAAUCCAAACCAGUGUUAAACUUGAUUUGUAAAGCUUAACUUAAAAACAAAGUUAGUAUAACAUAGACAAAUAAAUAAAAGCAUGAAUAUACUUUAUUGAGUUGUGAUUGGAUGUGGUUAAACUGUUCCAUGAUGAAGUGAAGUACCUCUCACAUCAGAUGCAACCUGAUAAUGCAUUGUCUUAUCCUAACCCCCACCAAUAUAUAUACUGUUACGGUUAAUCCGAUAUUAUAUCCGUUUUAAUCGGAUGCGGAAUGAUUACUUCAUCCGCGAGAAGAAUGGUUUUGGAUGUUCUCAUUUUGAUGAGCGUUUAAGGAGAGAAAUUAAUUGGAUGACAUGAUUUGACGCCGUGUCAAUCAUGCGGAUGAAUGUAUGCGGAACAAAAUGUACUCAAUAUACCAACCGCGGAAGAAUUUUUGGUGUUUAAAUUUACUUAAUAUUCAAUAACUUAUUAAGAUUGCCAGAAAAUAAAGCGUAAUUAAUUUCUGUUCUUGGAAAAGUAAAAAACAAUGUAACAUUUCCAGCAAAAAUAUGCGAAGUGCGGUUAUCUAUGAUUACAAAGAAUUCGGUGUAUUUUCCAUCUGACUUACCACACUGCCGCUUUUAACUAAUUUACGACUGCAAAGCUGAAAGUUCCUAAAAUCUAAAUUUGUAAAAUCAUUUUUGGACUAUUUCGUAACUUGUAACUCUUUUUUCUCUCGAAUUAAAAUUACUUGCAGUAUUAUAAGGGACCUUGUAAAGCACCCAGCUGCGAUUAAACCUAAUUAAAUAGGAAUGGAAAACGCAACUAAUUUUUUUGUGUCAAGAGAAAAUCAGUAAGUAAACAAAAAAAUAUCCCUCUGCGUUAACGCACAGUCUCAAAAGUACGUUUUUUACUUCAUCAAAACUUUGUUUUGUUGAUUUAUGCUUUUGCAACCAAAUAAUGACAUUAGCAACAUAAGGAAAGCAAAACUUCAGCACGUAAACAAGAAAUAAAUAAAUCAAUCAUAUAAUAGAUGUAAAUUAAAAAUGGCGGCCUACCUCAGCCAUGACUUGUGUUUGUAGGAGCAUGUUUAAACUUCUCGUGCAUUUAAAGUUUGUUUAUGUUUCGCGUCCGAGUUGUAUUAAAUGAUCUUACACAUCAAUGUCAAUGUAAAUAAAAGUCCAUUAUGUUCAUUUUAUUACAUGUUUUUAACCAAUUGAAUUUGAAAUGACGUAGAUAAGAACCAAUCAAAUUUGUGUAAUAAAUAAAUUGAUGUCGAUUGGAUUAAUAGCUAUAGAAUUGUUUGCAUUAAAAAGGGAAUGGCGCCAAUUUGAAAAUUGUUUUCCUGGUUGAUUAGAGUUUGUGUUGCGUAGCCCGAUAAUGACGAUUUUACCCGAGGUUUUUUAACAUUUUAUCAUAACAGCGCUGAAUAUUUUCUCGUUUGAAUGAAUCAGAUUUUGGUAAGUUUGUUUUGAUUGGUAAGAUAUGUGAGUAAAACAUCAUAACCCUACAAACAAAACACGUACACGCAAUCCAUGCGCCUGUUAAAGGCUGUCUGCAAGAUCACGUGAAUUCUCCAUUGACGUCACAAAGCGACUUCGUUACUAGUACUAUUUACUUAAAAAUAUGCAGAGCUUUAUAAAACACUUGGACCAGUGUUGGAAUUUUGUUUAUUUUUUUCUUAUAUUGCUAUGUCUGUUUUUGGUUGUCAUAGGUUACCAAUUAUGCACCGAUUCAUAUUGAAUUAAUCUGUCACUUUCAUGACGUCAGCAAGCGUUGCAUGCAGUUGGAAAAAAAUGGAUAUUGUCUGAAAAGGAAAUUUAACAGUAUGUCAGACUUUAUACGAAAAUGCAAGUUCGAGAAAUAAACGUCGCCGCUAAUGGUAAACAAACAAAAACUCGGAUUAGGGACGUGUUGACGUCAACAGUUUUCAUUCCAGUCUGUUGUGUAUCUUUGCUUUGCACAGUUCUAUCUGCAAUUAAUCCGCCCAAAACUAGUUUGUUACAACUUUAUUAUUGGUGCGGUUGACUGUUGAUCACCUUUAACUUACUUACAUUCGUAGCAGAGCUGCACAUUGUAUUGUUUUGGCUUGCUCUCCUGCAAACUAACCUAUAAUUCAAUGGAAGCCCUCAAAUGGAUUAAUAAUUCACAACAUUCCAAUUCACAGUGUACUGAAGUAGGGACUGAACUUGCAACCUUAUGAUGACUAGAACAAACAGUUAUUGAAGUGAAUAGUCGUCUGAAAUCGGCUGCUGCAAACCAACUAAUAUGCUUAGGUUGGCUUUACACGUUGACAAAAAACAACUUACAACGUAACCACAAUAAAAAAACAAACGAUUUAAUAAUUAUGUAAUUCCCAAGUACCAUUCAUUUUUCCGAUAUAUUAUUAGUUUAAUUGGUUUUUUCACGUGA